Molecule: long non-coding RNA, 1248 nt
Filed under: Sus scrofa (pig)
Lineage: Eukaryota; Metazoa; Chordata; Mammalia; Artiodactyla; Suidae
Description: lncRNA (ENSSSCG00070019060.1)
Source: RNAcentral
CGCACAUUCAGGGUGUUGGUGUAAAGUCUGACCUUUCCCAGCGACGCAGUUUCCAGAGCCUGGUCUUCUGGCCCCGGGGCUAACUUCCUGGUCAGCGCUCCGUGCCAGCCUCCCACGCCAGCACCUGCCGCCUGGCUAUGUGCUGGAAAACAGAAGCGCUGUGGCGGGGCAGUGGUGUUCUCCGAAAACGCGUGCCCACUUGGAAGCUGUGAUGGAAUUCGGGUCUUUGAGGCUGGGGUUGGUGGGGAUCCUGAGAUGCCGUCCAGGGGAGUCGCCAAUCCCGGGACGGAGUGUCCUGAGAAGGGACGGAUGGGAAGACAGGCCCCCGGAGGCCCCUGUGAGGAUGGAGGUAGAGUUGGGGGUGAGGUGGCCACAAGCCAAGGAAGCCUGGAGCCCCCCCACGUGGGACCCGGCAGGAAGGGUCCUCCCCCAGAGCCCAGAGACAAGCGCUUCUCUGAUUGGCUGACGGCAACUUCUUCCGCCCCGCCUGCCUUGUGGAUCAGAAGCAUCUCCGGUGAUGCAGCCGGAACGGGACACUGCAGGGACAACCUCAAGGCAGGUUGGAUAAGACCCGGCCCCACAGACAGAGUGCGUCUCUCAAAAUUGCGUUGUCUCAUCUGGGGAGUUUCAUUGUCUGACCGUGUCCGGCAGGCCCCGAAGGCGUCCGUGGGUGGAGCCACCUCACCUGCUGAGCCCCAUCGGAGGACGCGUCUCCGUCCAGUUUUGCUUGGUCUCCUCUUGAGCCUGGGGGCUCCCCACCCAGAUCAGCACGACGAUGCCAGGAAGCGAGGGCCACGCCCUGGAGACCAGCCCUCGGCUGAAGUGGUUCCUGGCCCCCUCCUCCCUGGCGGACCUGGCCGCUCCGUCACCCUGGACCCAGAUGCCCUUCAGACCCGCACUGCGUGUCAACACAUCUCCAGCCCUCAGGGGUCCGCGGGGCCUCAGAGACCCUCCAGCCCCGCCGAGCCGACACAGGCGAGGUGCUCAGGGAGCCUCUCCUGGAGUUGGUUGCACCCUGGGCAUGGGCAUGCCCUGUGCUGUAGGGUGACGCCCGGGCCCCUGCCCGUAUCCUCCGCCUUUAAGAAAGAGACACGAAGGGCAAAAAGUGGGCCCGCUGCUCAGAGGCCGGGAACAGGCUUCAGGCCAGGCGGUGGGCUCUCUCCAUUCCGGCCCACCCCUGCCGGGCCCGGCCCCGCCCGUCACCCCACAGCAGACCUCACCCACCUGUCCCCUUUCGUGACCCUGCUG